GUACACAAAAAUAUUUUCCUUGUAGAAAAUAGUUUUCCAGACACUUAGCCUUCUGAAGUGCUCAUCUCUUGCUUAAAUGAUAGUCUAUUUAGUAGUUUAAAAUAAAAAUAAUCACUCCCUAUGAUCUAGUUAAUGUAAUUAUCCAGUCACUGUAACUAAUCUCUUGAAGGGACUUUUGUGAUAAAGAGCCAAGUUCAGAAGCAUAGCGUGUACCGAAAAUGAAGACUCUCCUAUCUACUGCUACAGAUCCUGUUGAAGAAAGAGCUUACCCCUUUCCCCCGGAAAACUUGCAAUCCUGUAGUUCCCAUAUGUGUGGCAUAUGUCAGUUAUGAAAUUAUUAUAAUUCAGCCUUCAAACUACUACUGAUCAACUAAAGGAAAGCUAAUAAGUGUUCACUCAUCUUAAACAUCCUCAGUUGAAAUCCGUAUGCUCCGCUAGCCCUGCUGCUUCUAAUCAUUCAUUUCCCUGGAGAGCUGGCUUGGGAAAGGCAACUUAUUCCCAGAGGACAGUAGAGCAGAAGUGCAGAGCUCUAGUCCACAGCCUUCCUCCCCAGGACAUGUGAUUC
Long non-coding RNA from Homo sapiens (human), 565 nucleotides. Ensembl annotates it as WDR7 overlapping transcript 1. Its record names the gene WDR7-OT1. The record is from Ensembl. Lineage: Eukaryota; Metazoa; Chordata; Mammalia; Primates; Hominidae.